This 467-nucleotide ribosomal RNA is filed under the name uncultured bacterium. Its description in RNAcentral is "partial 16S ribosomal RNA". It matches the Rfam family "Bacterial small subunit ribosomal RNA", at positions 28 to 506 of the family's 1533-position model. The record is from RNAcentral.
GACGAACGCUGGCGGCGUGCUUAACACAUGCAAGUCGAACGGAAAGGCCCUGCUUUUGUGGGGUGCUCGAGUGGCGAACGGGUGAGUAACACGUGAGUAACCUGCCCUUGACUUUGGGAUAACUUCAGGAAACUGGGGCUAAUACCGGAUAGGAGCUCCUGCUGCAUGGUGGGGGUUGGAAAGUUUCGGCGGUUGGGGAUGGACUCGCGGCUUAUCAGCUUGUUGGUGGGGUAGUGGCUUACCAAGGCUUUGACGGGUAGCCGGCCUGAGAGGGUGACCGGCCAAAUGGGGAAGGGGUUACGGCCCGGCCUCCUACGGGAGGCAGGAGGGGGGAAUAUGGCACAAGGGGCGGAAGCCUGAGGCAGCAACGCCGGGUGGGGGAGGGGGGCCUUCGGGUUGUAAACCGCUUUCGCCGGUGACGAAGGGUGAGUGACGGGAAUGGGUAAAGAAGCACCGGCUAAAUACGU